This 538-nucleotide ribosomal RNA is filed under the name uncultured bacterium. Its description in RNAcentral is "bacterial SSU rRNA". It matches the Rfam family "Bacterial small subunit ribosomal RNA", at positions 777 to 1316 of the family's 1533-position model. The record is from RNAcentral.
AAUAGAUACCCCGGUAGUCCACGCAGUAAACGAUGCAGACUAGGCGUGGGGGGACUUGACCCCCUCCGUGCCGCAGCCAACGCGUGAAGUCUGCCGCCUGGGGAGUACGGCCGCAAGGCUAGAACUCAAAGGAAUUGACGGGGGCCCGCACAAGCGGCGGAGCAUGUUGCUUAAUUCGAGGCAACGCGAAGAACCUUACCUAGGUUGAACUAUGCAGGAAAAGCCACAGAGAUGUGGUGUCCUUCGGGGCCUGCGAUAGGUGGUGCAUGGCUGUCGUCAGCUCGUGUCGUGAGAUGUUGGGUUAAGUCCCGCAACGAGCGCAACCCUUGUCCUAUGUUGCCAGCGGGUAAAGCCGGGGACUCGUAGGAGACUGCCGGGGUCAACUCGGAGGAAGGUGGGGACGACGUCAAGUCAUCAUGCCCCUUAUGUCUAAGGCUGCAAACAUGCUACAAUGGCCGGUACAGAGGGCUGCGAAACCGCGAGGUCGAGCGAAUCCCAAAAAGCCGGUCUCAGUUCGGAUUGAAGUCUGCAACUCGUA